GAUGAACGCUGGCGGCGUGCCUAAUACAUGCAAGUCGAGCGAAAAGACGCUGAGAUUGCUCCCUUGACGUUAGCGGCGGGCGGGUGAGUGACAUGUGGAUCAGCUACUUCUUUGUCUGGGAUAAUAACGGGAAACCGGAUACACUACUGGAGCAUAUAUUCUACCGGUUGGUGCAAUAGUUAGUGACGGCUUUCGCGUCUGUAUUAGCCGGUUCCGCGCUGCAUUAGCUAGUUGGUAAGGUAACGGCUUACCAAGGCGACGAUGCGUAGCCGACCUGAGAGGAUGAUCAGCCACACUGGAACUGAGACACGGUCCAGACUCCUACGGGAGGCAGCAGUGGGGAAUAUUCGGCAAUGGGCGAAAGCCUGACCCAGCAACACCGCGUGGGUGAAGAAGGCCUUCGGGUCGUAAAGCCCUUUUGUUGGGAAAGAACAGAUGUAGGAGUAUACAUGGAUGUUUUGACGGUACCUAAUGAAAAAGCCCCGGCUAACUACGUG
This 497-nucleotide ribosomal RNA is filed under the name uncultured bacterium. Its description in RNAcentral is "partial 16S ribosomal RNA". It matches the Rfam family "Bacterial small subunit ribosomal RNA", at positions 28 to 507 of the family's 1533-position model. The record is from RNAcentral.